UACGUAGGGCGCAAGCGUUGUCCGGAAUUAUUGGGCGUAAAGAGCUCGUAGGCGGCUUGUCACGUCGGGUGUGAAAGCCCGGGGCUUAACCCCGGGUCUGCAUUCGAUACGGGCUAGCUAGAGUGUGGUAGGGGAGAUCGGAAUUCCUGGUGUAGCGGUGAAAUGCGCAGAUAUCAGGAGGAACACCGGUGGCGAAGGCGGAUCUCUGGGCCAUUACUGACGCUGAUGCGCGAAAGCGUGGGGAGCAAACGGG
This 253-nucleotide ribosomal RNA is filed under the name uncultured bacterium. RNAcentral describes it as "partial 16S ribosomal RNA". It matches the Rfam family "Bacterial small subunit ribosomal RNA", at positions 524 to 776 of the family's 1533-position model. The record is from RNAcentral.